RNAcentral lists this ribosomal RNA (328 nucleotides) under Pheidole sp. 5 RA0536. RNAcentral's name for it is "partial 12S ribosomal RNA". Lineage: Eukaryota; Metazoa; Arthropoda; Insecta; Hymenoptera; Formicidae. The record is from RNAcentral.
UAAGAUUGAAUAAUUAAGAAUUAAAUGAAAUCAUUAAAUUUAAAUAAUUUGGCGGUAUUUUAAAUAGUUAGAGGAAUUUGUUUAUUAAAUGAUACCCCACGAUUGGAUCGUCCUAAUAAAAUUUUUAUGUAUUGUUGUAUAAAAAUUAUUUUAAGAGAAUGAUAAUUAAAAUAUUUAAAUUAAUUUGAAUAUAAAUCAAAAUGUAGAAUUAUUAGGUAAAAAUGAAUUACAGUUUAAUUUAAUAUUGGAGUUAUUUUUUUAAUUAAAAUAAUGAAAAAGGAUUUAAUAGUAAAUUUAAAUAAAUUUUUAAAUUGAAAUAUUAAUUAAA